UAAACGUUUAAAUAUUUCUAUAAGGUCAUUUCCGAAUACAGUAGUCUCUCGAAAGUCUGACUUAUCUGAGAACAUUUUUUCUGUAAAUAAAUAUCUUUAUACUAACUAUAUAAAAAAAUAAUUAAAUUUUUCUGAUACUUAUAUUUGUUAAUCUUUUCUGUUUGUGUCUUUUUGUUAUUGGUUUUGACCAGUGUUUGUUUAACAAUUUUUGGUCACGAUGUAUAAAAUAAAUAAAUAAAAAAUCUUAUGGGCCACAUUUCCGUCCUAUAGUCGAUAACAGGUUACCACACUGGCAGCCAAAUACGUUGAUUGGUUAGCCCAAAAGAACGGCCGACCAAUCUAGCUAUUAGUCCCUCUAAUUUUAGACCACCGUCCGGGCUUUAAACUCGGUACGGAUGGCCUCCCACACCGGAUAAAAGACACCAGUGGCACAUAAGCAAAGCGUCCAUAUAGGCGUACCGUUGACGGCGCCUUAGCUAUAAUAGGGUAACCCCAGCCCGGGUCCGAUAAUCAGCGCCCAGCCUUUUCUUAUUAAUGCCGAUCAAAUUUACCGGCCGGCUUUAAUAGGGACCGAUAAUCGGGCCAUAAAAAGUAUCGUAAGUUUAUCUUCCGACCGUCGGAACGAGCGACAAGAACAGAGAUUAGCGUUAAAAAUACCGACAGGGAAGAAAUUCUCUGGGGGUGAGAAACGGUGGACCGGAAAAAUAUCUGACCGGACCCAUCGACCACCAUAUUUUUCCCAGGGAAGAAGGCUACUACCUACGUUUAGCCAUCUUUCCACCCGAGUUUAGUUGGGCGCUAUCCAAUUUUACUCGGAGGAUGGGGCUGUUGGGAUGGUACCCGCCAUUAUUCACUCUACCGAUAACAUUGGAUGAAUUAAUAAAGUUGGAAUGGAUUGGAUGGGAUACGAGUUUAAUCCAAACGCGCCUAUGGAUCAACCAGGAUAAAACCGUGACUAAACUUAAUUUUAGAUAGGCUCCGUUGGCCCAGGGAAAGCCUGGUCGGACCAAUUAUAUACCGGCGGUUUUUUCCUCUGUUCCGGUGAUUAGCCGAACGGAAAUUGGUCGGCCCCGAAGUUUUUCCGGCCGCCGUGACGGGUGGUGGUUCCGCCCGCUGGCUUAAAGGCGCCAGCUCUAGCCGUCCCUCGGCGCCGUUCGGGCCUUCUCUACUCCGCCCGUUAAAAUCCCUUCCGCCACUGGCCCAUACCAAAAACAAGUUCUUAAAACAAAGAAGAAUGAACAUUCCGUUUACUUUCGACCACUAGAAUAAAAUAUGACCAGCCUGGUCUAGCACUUAAAUUACAUUUUUGACAUACACCGGUUCCGGUUGAUUAAUAUUUUUUUCCAAUGGCUGGCCUACCGUUUCCGUGGCUAAAAUAUCAACAAAAAUUGAUAUUACUGGGUAUCGAUCGGCCAGCCGCCGUUGGGAUUUUUUUUUUUUUUGCAUAUUUUACGCCUCUUUCCCAUCGGGGAGACAACUAAGGACGGGGCCAGUUCCCACCACUUAUGUGGAACAGGACCGGAUGGUGAAGGAGGGCCAUGGCCGGGCCGGACCCGGCACCCCUAAAAUCUUUCCGGGAGUUAUCGGACCCGAGAGGCCCAGUCGGGUCCCGCGCCUGGCCGGCCCACCGCCCGACCCCUCGGCCGUCCGGCCGCCGCCGUUGGGAUUUAGGCCCAAAUUAUUUUUAAUCGAUGAAAAAAAUGACUUUGUCGAUUUUCGUGUCGUAAAACAAUUUUGCAUUUAUAUAAUAUUUGAAUGCGUUAUAGUCAUUAAUCGCGCUUUCUUAUUAACGUAACAAUAAUAAAAUAAUAGAAAAGUAACAAUAGAUAGCGAAUCUUACUUUUUAGCGCGAUAACUUACGUAACAAUUUUGUUAUCAUCAGGCAAAUGCCAAUGUACGCGACAUUUAGCGCAUUUUAUUGGAGAAAAUCCUUCUACGCCUGUCUUACACCUUUUUUUUAUUGGCCGGUGGGGGCCAGCGCCCGUAAUUAUUAAGUCGAAUGUGGGCGGUAAGUGCCGGUGUUAGGCAUUUUUUUUGUUUCUGCUUUUCUCUUUUUUGUUUUAUAUGUGCGUUUCCCGUUUUCUUACCAGGAAUGUCGGCUUUGGUAGGCUACUGACCAUUUUGGCCCAAAAAUCCAGAAACUUCGGUUGGUCUCUGACCCGUAUUGGUCCGAAAAUAGGCUAAAUAUUUUUAUUCGAAGCAAAAAUUAGCUGAAGAAAAAUAAUUUCUCGUUUUAUAAAUGGAC
RNAcentral lists this long non-coding RNA (2245 nucleotides) under Androctonus crassicauda. Lineage: Eukaryota; Metazoa; Arthropoda; Arachnida; Scorpiones; Buthidae. The record is from RNAcentral.